UCGGGAAUUUUGGGCAAUGGGGGAAACCCUGACCCAGCAACGCCGCGUGAAGGAUGAAGUAUUUCGGUAUGUAAACUUCGAAAGAAUAGGAAGAAUAAAUGACGGUACUAUUUAUAAGGUCCGGCUAACUACGUGCCAGCAGCCGUGGUAAUACGUAGGGACCAAGCGUUGUUCGGAUUUACUGGGCGUAAAGGGCGCGUAGGCGGCAUGACAAGUCACUUGUGAAAUCUCUGGGCUUAACCCAGAACGGCCAAGUGAUACUGUCGCGCUAGAGUGCAGAAGGGGCAAUCGGAAUUCUUGGUGUAGCGGUGAAAUGCGUAGAUAUCAAGAGGAACACCUGAGGUGAAGACGGGUUGCUGGGCUGACACUGACGCUGAGGCGCGAAAGCCAGGGGAGCAAACGGGAUUAGAUACCCGGGUAGUCCCUGAGCGGGCUGGCAAGGCGCAU
Molecule: ribosomal RNA, 447 nt
Filed under: uncultured bacterium
Lineage: Bacteria
Description: bacterial SSU rRNA
Rfam family: Bacterial small subunit ribosomal RNA
Source: RNAcentral